UAGACCCGAUAGAGAAUAUAUUAUCCGAUUUUUAUGUUGAUAAGAUCCAGAUCCAUUUCAACAACACCCUGUCUCCCGUCUCCUCACGUUGAUCGUUCCCCGCGUCUGCGCCCUUCCACUUCGAUGGCGUCGACGGCGGGCUCCCACCACCACUGACAGCGAGUGGCGCCGCCCCUCUCCUGACCCUCGGCGGCGCGGCCCUGCUAUUCCCCAACGAUGGUGGCGGUCCCUCCAUCAGCCCUGUGCAGCAGUGCCCCUCCACCUUCCUGGCGUCGGCGCCGGCCCCUCCCGAGAAGAAGGCGUCCCCUCCACACUUCUCGAUGCUCGGUGAGGGCUGCGGCGAGGCUCGACAGGGGCUCUCCCAACAAAUCCGGCCGAGCAAGGCCGUGGAAUCUAGGUUGGGUGUGGCGGCGCUGCCGUUUGGAUCGGGCAUUAGGUGCGGCUUCCAGUCGCUAGCUCUCAGAACGAGUGUGGUGGUGCUGCCGUUGGGAGCCUGGGACACAGUAUGACAACAACGAUGGAAUCCAGGUUUCAUUAAGCCAGUAUAGUACGUCGUAAUUUUACUGUUGUGAUCCAUUUGUUUAUUCCCAUUUAAUCCCCUUGCACUUGCAGAACCGGGGUAAUUUAUUCCAUUAAUCUUGUUUCUAUCGCAUUGCUACUUUAAAUCAAAUAUGCGUAUGCAGUUCGUUCAACAUUGUGCCUUGCGGCAACCAUCGAGGGAUAAGGUAUUGUAUUCUUCUGUAGUUUGGAUGGGUAAGAUUAAUUUUUCAGGCAUUGAUUUUGUUUCAGGUUACAGUAUGAGUGUGACUAAAGUACCAGUUGAUACUUUUUUUUAGAGUCAACUCAUUGUACUAGUUGAUACUUUGUUCCGGACCAAAUAGAGUAUCGGUUUAUAUUAUUCUCAGAUUAGAUUAGAAGUACUGAUAGGUACUUUUUCGGAUUAGCGUAUCCAUACAUACCUUUUUUCAGGUUACUGUAUCGUCUGAUACAAUUUGGAUUAUUUUGUAUCACUUUAUACUUGUCUUAAACGUAGGGUAUCACUGGAUACUAAUGUGUUCGCUGACAUAAUUCCUCAAAUACUAAUCCAAAAUGACAUAUUGUUGUGUCGAUGCUGAUUUUGACAUAGAGGUAUGGGCAUAUGGCAACUAUGAGUGCAUUCCAAAAUCAACAACUUAAUGUUACAUUUGUUUCCUUUAAUUUCCAAUCAGGUUCUCAGCCUGUUCGUGCUCAGUGAACAGUUCAUAUACAUAUGACUAGGAGAUGACAAGCUCCAACAGGUGUUUUGGUAUUUUCAGGAAGAAUCGUUAUCGGUCUGGUGCUGGCUGCAUACACAGUGUGCUAUGUAUGAAUAAAUGAAGUUUCUUAUUCAUUGGUCACAAAAACUUUUAGAUUAUUGGUUUCGGAAUGUGCCUGCAGGAAAGACUUGCCAUAUUGUUAGUAGUAUGUUAUACCUGUUUUUUAGUUUUUCAGCCUCUCCGUACAUUUGGAGGGAUUUUGUAAUUAAAUUUUUCGUAUAGCCUGAAACAUAGUAUGUGUAUAUAUUUGCUUGCAGAGUAUAUAGGUAUGUAAGUAUGCUCUGUCAAAAA
Sorghum bicolor (sorghum) is the source of this 1586-nucleotide long non-coding RNA. RefSeq lists it as uncharacterized. Lineage: Eukaryota; Viridiplantae; Streptophyta; Magnoliopsida; Poales; Poaceae. The record is from RefSeq and is a predicted model, not a curated record. The transcript is spliced from 2 exons.